Molecule: ribosomal RNA, 464 nt
Filed under: uncultured bacterium
Lineage: Bacteria
Description: partial 16S ribosomal RNA
Rfam family: Bacterial small subunit ribosomal RNA
Source: RNAcentral
ACGAACGCUGGCGGCGUGCUUAACACAUGCAAGUCGAACGGAAAGGCCCCUUUGGGGGUACUCGAGUGGCGAACGGGUGAGUAACACGUGAGUAACCUGCCCUUGACUUCGGGAUAACUUCAGGAAACUGGGGCUAAUACCGGAUAGGAAUCCUUGCUGCAUGGUGGGGGUUGGAAAGCUUCGGCGGUUUUGGAUGGACUCGCGGCUUAUCAGCUUGUUGGUGGGGUAGUGGCUUACCAAGGCUUUGACGGGUAGCCGGCCUGAGAGGGCGACCGGCCACAUUGGGACUGAGAUACGGCCCAGACUCCUACGGAAGGCAGCAGUGGGGAAUAUUGCACAAUGGGCGGAAGCCUGAUGCAGCAACGCCGCGUGCGGGAUGACGGCCUUCGGGUUGUAAACCGCUUUCAGCAGGGGCGAAGCUUGUGGUGACGGUACCUGCAGAAGAAGCACCGGCUAACUACGUG